RNAcentral lists this ribosomal RNA (429 nucleotides) under Chloroflexota bacterium. Its description in RNAcentral is "Chloroflexi bacterium partial 16S ribosomal RNA". It matches the Rfam family "Bacterial small subunit ribosomal RNA", at positions 355 to 776 of the family's 1533-position model. The record is from RNAcentral. Lineage: Bacteria; Bacillati; Chloroflexota.
UGGGGAAUAUUGCACAAUGGGCGCAAGCCUGAUGCAGCCAUGCCGCGUGUAUGAAGAAGGCCUUCGGGUUGUAAAGUACUUUCAGCGGGGAGGAAGGGAGUAAAGUUAAUACCUUUGCUCAUUGACGUUACCCGCAGAAGAAGCACCGGCUAACUCCGUGCCAGCAGCCGCGGUAAUACGGAGGGUGCAAGCGUUAAUCGGAAUUACUGGGCGUAAAGCGCACGCAGGCGGUUUGUUAAGUCAGAUGUGAAAUCCCCGGGCUCAACCUGGGAACGGCAUCUGAUACUGGCAAGCUUGAGUCUCGUAGAGGGGGGUAGAAUUCCAGGUGUAGCGGUGAAAUGCGUAGAGAUCUGGAGGAAUACCGGUGGCGAAGGCGGCACCCUGGACGAAGACUGACGCUCAGGUGCGAAAGCGUGGGGAGAAAACAGG